AUGAACGCUAGCUACAGGCUUAACACCUGCAAGUCGCGGGGAAACGACAUCGAAAGCUUGCUUUUGAUGGGCGUCGACCGGCGCACGGGUGAGUAACGCGUAUCCAACCUGCCCACCACUUGGUUCUAACCUUUCGAAAGUAAGACUAAUACCCAAUGAUAUCUCUAGAAGACAUCUGAAAGAGAUUAAAGAUUUAUCGGUGAUGGAUGGGGAUGCGUCUGAUUAGCUUGUUGGCGGUGUAACGGCCCACCAAGGCAACGAUCAGUAGGGGUUCUGAGGGGAAGGUCCCCCACAGUGGAACUGAGACACGGACAAAAGACCUACGGGAGGCAGCAGUGAGGAAGAUAGGAGAAGGGAAGAGAGUAUGAACCAGCCAAGUAGCGUGCAGGAAGACGGCGCUAUGGGUGGUAAACUGCUUUUAGAAGGGAAUAAAGUGAGUCUCGUGAGACUUUUUGCAUGUACCUGAUGAAUAAGGACCGGCUAAUUCCGUG
Molecule: ribosomal RNA, 491 nt
Filed under: uncultured bacterium
Lineage: Bacteria
Description: partial 16S ribosomal RNA
Rfam family: Bacterial small subunit ribosomal RNA
Source: RNAcentral